Long non-coding RNA from Gasterosteus aculeatus aculeatus (three-spined stickleback), 624 nucleotides. Lineage: Eukaryota; Metazoa; Chordata; Actinopteri; Perciformes; Gasterosteidae. The record is from Ensembl.
GCAAGCAACUGAUCGGCAUGAGUGUGACUGUCCUCAGCGGGGAGACUCAACCUGCGUCCACACAGAAGGUCGGGGGGAACGAUGUGUGUACAAAGCGCAGGUGGAACCAAGUCGUUGGGUUGAAGGUUCUGAGUCGAGUCCCAGAAAAAGAUUCUCUCAAAUGCUGCUGUUUUCCUGAAUGAGCACAGAAAUCCCUCCCGUGACCUCACCGUUGGCUCAGCUGUGCACCCCCCCCCCCUGUCCCCCGGAAACUUGAGAGAUGGAGCAAUGAUGACAGGGGUGGCGGUGCUGAUGAUGAAGGAAGGGGGUGUGUGGGAUGGAGCCACAAACCGCUGCUGUUGCCGUGUAUGUGGGGCAACCAGGAACAUCCGGUCCUCUGCAGACAGUCAUCGCAUCCCUUCGCUUCAGGAUUACAGCACUUAAUCUGCACGGCAACAGCUCCUCUGCUGCUGCAACGCUGAGCGGAUGGAACCAGGGGAGGAUGCCUGGGGGGGGCGAAAAGCCUGGCUGAAACAAAAUCAUGAGAAGACAUGAGGAGACAUGAGACAUUAGGAAACAUGAGCAGUCAUGAGGAGACAUGGGGAGACAUGAGACAUUAGGAGACAUGAGGAGUCCUCAGGAAAC